Molecule: ribosomal RNA, 253 nt
Filed under: uncultured bacterium
Lineage: Bacteria
Description: partial 16S ribosomal RNA
Rfam family: Bacterial small subunit ribosomal RNA
Source: RNAcentral
UACGUAGGGGGCUAGCGUUGUCCGGAAUCAUUGGGCGUAAAGCGCACGUAGGCGGACUCUUAAGUCGGUGGUGAAAUCCUGGAGCUCAACUCCAGAACUGCCUUCGAUACUGAGAGUCUUGAGUCCGGGAGAGGUGAGUGGAACUGCGAGUGUGGAGGUGAAAUUCGUAGAUAUUCGCAAGAACACCAGUGGCGAAGGCGGCUCACUGGCCCGGUACUGACGCUGAGGUGCGAAAGCGUGGGGAGCAAACAGG